Molecule: Y RNA, 112 nt
Filed under: Prolemur simus (greater bamboo lemur)
Lineage: Eukaryota; Metazoa; Chordata; Mammalia; Primates; Lemuridae
Description: Y RNA (ENSPSMG00000005453.1)
Rfam family: Y RNA
About the family: Y RNAs are components of the Ro ribonucleoprotein particle (Ro RNP), in association with Ro60 and La proteins. The Y RNAs and Ro60 and La proteins are well conserved, but the function of the Ro RNP is not known.
Source: Rfam by way of RNAcentral
GGCUGGUCCGAAUGUAGUGAGUUAUCUCACUUAAUUAUUCAGUCAGUUACAGAUUGAACUCCUUGUUCUACUAGUUCCCCCCUCCUCACUACUGCAACUUGACUAGUCUUAA